GACGAACGCUGGCGGCGUGCCUAAUACAUGCAAGUAGAACGCUGAAGAGAGGAGCUUGCUCUUCUUGGAUGAGUUGCGAACGGGUGAGUAACGCGUAGGUAACCUGCCUUGUAGCGGGGGAUAACUAUUGGAAACGAUAGCUAAUACCGCAUAACAAUGGAUGACACAUGUCAUUUAUUUGAAAGGGGCAAUUGCUCCACUACAAGAUGGACCUGCGUUGUAUUAGCUAGUAGGUGAGGUAACGGCUCACCUAGGCGACGAUACAUAGCCGACCUGAGAGGGUGAUCGGCCACACUGGGACUGAGACACGGCCCAGACUCCUACGGGAGGCAGCAGUAGGGAAUCUUCGGCAAUGGGGGCAACCCUGACCGAGCAACGCCGCGUGAGUGGAGAAGGUUUUCGGAUCGUAAAGCUCUGUUGUAAGUCAAGAACGAGUGUGAGAGUGGAAAGUUCACACUGUGACGGUAGCUUACCAGAAAGGGACGGCUAACUACGUGCCAGCAGCCGCGGUAAUACGUAGGUCCCGAGCGUUGUCCGGAUUUAUUGGGCGUAAAGCGAGCGCAGGCGGUUUGAUAAGUCUGAAGUUAAAGGCUGUGGCUCAACCAUAGUUCGCUUUGGAAACUGUCAAACUUGAGUGCAGAAGGGGAGAGUGGAAUUCCAUGUGUAGCGGUGAAAUGCGUAGAUAUAUGGAGGAACACCGGUGGCGAAAGCGGCUCUCUGGUCUGUAACUGACGCUGAGGCUCGAAAGCGUGGGGAGCGAACAGGAUUAGAUACCCUGGUAGUCCACGCCGUAAACGAUGAGUGCUAGGUGUUGGAUCCUUUCCGGGAUUCAGCGCCGCAGCUAACGCAUUAAGCACUCCGCCUGGGGAGUACGACCGCAAGGUUGAAACUCAAGGGAAUUGACGGGGGCCCGCACAAGCGGUGGAGCAUGUGGUUUAAUUCGAAGCAACGCGAAGAACCUUACCAGGUCUUGACAUCCCGAUGCUAUUUCUAGAGAUAGAAAGUUACUUCGGUACAUCGGUGACAGGUGGUGCAUGGUUGUCGUCAGCCCGUGUCGUGAGAUGUUGGGUUAAGUCCCGCAACGAGCGCAACCCCUAUUGUUAGUUGCCAUCAUUCAGUUGGGCACUCUAGCGAGACUGCCGGUAAUAAACCGGAGGAAGGUGGGGAUGACGUCAAAUCAUCAUGCCCCUUAUGACCUGGGCUACACACGUGCUACAAUGGUUGGUACAACGAGUUGCGAGUCGGUGACGGCAAGCUAAUCUCUUAAAGCCAAUCUCAGUUCGGAUUGUAGGCUGCAACUCGCCUACAUGAAGUCGGAAUCGCUAGUAAUCGCGGAUCAGCACGCCGCGGUGAAUACGUUCCCGGGCCU
Molecule: ribosomal RNA, 1369 nt
Filed under: uncultured bacterium
Lineage: Bacteria
Description: bacterial SSU rRNA
Rfam family: Bacterial small subunit ribosomal RNA
Source: RNAcentral